This is a non-coding RNA of Cinara cedri, 270 nucleotides long. The record is from the annotation of a GenBank genome assembly. Lineage: Eukaryota; Metazoa; Arthropoda; Insecta; Hemiptera; Aphididae.
CGAGGGUAUACAUAACUAUAGUUUUAGUGUUUAGUUUUUUCAAUAGGUAAGUCAAUGAUUAUUUCAACUGAAAAGCCUGUGUAUGCGAGUACGCGAGACAAUUGAGAUAGAAUAUUAGUUGACUUAAGUUUAAUUGUUUUUGCCAAAGGCGUUUAGGUUUUAUUAAAAAAUGAUAAAUGGGUGGGCAGUUUGGCGGGCAGUUUAAAUAUUUGUUUAUUGUCUCGUACGUGAUGUAAGUUCCCGCCGCCAUUUUGACAUAUAGAUAGCUUU